Molecule: ribosomal RNA, 423 nt
Filed under: uncultured bacterium
Lineage: Bacteria
Description: partial 16S ribosomal RNA
Rfam family: Bacterial small subunit ribosomal RNA
Source: RNAcentral
AUAUUGGACAAUGGGGGCAACCCUGAUCCAGCCAUGCCGCGUGUGUGAAGAAGGUCUNNNGAUUGNACAGCACUUUAAGUUGGNAGGNAGGGCUUUAGGUUAAUACCCUGAAGUUUUGACGUUACCAACAGAAUAAGCACCGGCUAACUCUGUGCCAGCAGCCGCGGUAAUACAGAGGGUGCAAGCGUUAAUCGGAAUUACUGGGCGUAAAGCGCGCGUAGGUGGUUCAGUAAGAUGGGUGUGAAAUCCCCGGGCUUAACCUGGGAACUGCUUUCAUAACUGCUGAGCUAGAGUACGGUAGAGGGUAGUGGAAUUUCCUGUGUAGCGGUGAAAUGCGUAGAUAUAGGAAGGAACACCAGUGGCGAAGGCGACUACCUGGACUGAUACUGACACUGAGGUGCGAAAGCGUGGGGAGCAAACAGG